This 90-nucleotide non-coding RNA is filed under the name Chromobacterium amazonense. RNAcentral describes it as "SAH sequence". It matches the Rfam family "SAH (S-adenosyl-L-homocysteine) riboswitch aptamer". The record is from RNAcentral. Lineage: Bacteria; Pseudomonadati; Pseudomonadota; Betaproteobacteria; Neisseriales; Chromobacteriaceae.
CAUGCCGAGGGGCGCUGCGAGGAGGGUGUUCUCCCCAGGCUUGGCGUGCCGCCUGCCGUCCGGCGGGCGAGGCAACGGCGCUCACCUGAC